Molecule: non-coding RNA, 465 nt
Organism: Penaeus vannamei (Pacific white shrimp)
Lineage: Eukaryota; Metazoa; Arthropoda; Malacostraca; Decapoda; Penaeidae
Source: RefSeq, a predicted model, not a curated record
CUUGGUCAACCCAUCGUGACGCCGAGAUUCGCCCACCUGCCCAGAGACCAGCUGGAGAGACUGGGCCAGCUGGCAGCCAAGCACCAGUGCACAUCCAGAGCCACCUGUGCGAGAGCCGGGCGGAGAAAGCCUGGGUGAAGGACUGUUUCCGGGACGAAGAACUAACGCUGAGUGUUAUGACAGCACGGGACUGCUGACGGAGAAGAUUGCUCGGGAGGGUUCAGCGCGUCUAUACUCGAUUCCCUUCGUCAGGCCGUCUUGGUAUCGAAGGCUCUGUCGUCGAUGUCGGAUUCCCCUCAUCUGACCCUCGAGGAAUCUUUUCGUCUGGCUACGCUAGGGGGCGCUAAAGUGCUUCAUAUGAGCGAUCGGAUCGGAACUUUGAGCCCGGAGAAGGAAUUCGAUGCUCUUCUGGUCGACGUGGAAGCCAAGGGGACCCCGCUGGAUAUAUUCCCCGAGGUAUGUUGG